CAUGAUAGUGUGAGGAACGUCUUUGGAGGAAUUCUUCCAGUUCACAAGGUAUCACGUCCGCAUUCCAUUAUCUCACUUAUGGGUUAGUUCUUUGCAGUAAACAAUAUUCAGAAAUAAAUUUUCAAACAUUUAACAUUGUGCAUUAACUUCACUCUGGCUGGUCCUGUCUAUCUUAUUGUGUCAGAUAGGCUUUAGAGAUCUUAGAGGAAUUAAAGAAAUAAAUAACGUGAUUUAGCGGGGUCGUACAAGUUGUGGUGGGCUUGGUAAGUGUAAGUUCUAGUCUUGGUGCUGUG
Non-coding RNA from Pelobates cultripes (western spadefoot toad), 293 nucleotides. The record is from the annotation of a GenBank genome assembly. NCBI's taxonomy places the organism in Eukaryota, Metazoa, Chordata, Amphibia, Anura, Pelobatidae.